GCGCCCGUAGCUCAGUGGAUAGAGCGCUGGCCUCCGGAGCCAGAUGCGGGGGUUCGAGUCCCUCCGGGCGUACCA
Molecule: transfer RNA, 75 nt
Filed under: Chloroflexota bacterium
Lineage: Bacteria; Bacillati; Chloroflexota
Description: Chloroflexi bacterium tRNA-Arg
Rfam family: tRNA
About the family: Transfer RNA (tRNA) molecules are approximately 80 nucleotides in length.
Source: RNAcentral